Molecule: long non-coding RNA, 874 nt
Organism: Engraulis encrasicolus (European anchovy)
Lineage: Eukaryota; Metazoa; Chordata; Actinopteri; Clupeiformes; Engraulidae
Exons: 4
Source: RefSeq, a predicted model, not a curated record
AGUGAUUCCUCUGGUGUGGUGUACCUCAGAGAAAAUAAACACUGUUGCAAGAGCUGAGAAGAUAUCCUUAUUGCUGGAUGGUUGCUCUCUGGUCGUACUUGAGCCCCCUGGACCAUGUCUGCAAAUGCUUCUGAACAUUGACAGAAUUUCUAAAGGAUCGCUGAGGACUCCCCCUCCAUGCGUGACAUCUUUGAGAAAUUUCCACGCUUUCUGGAGAUGCCAAGUUUGACUGGAACCAACUUUGCAUCCCUCGGCACUGACACUGAGAAGGUUUCAAGGACCCCACUACUACGAGGCGAGAGUUUGACACGGUAGUGUCAUCACUGCCAUGGAUGACAACGUAACCAUUCCUGUUGCUGAUUGCCUGACUUGCGCAGUGACAAGCUUUUCAUGCUCUACUGGGUGUGUAACUUGGCAUAUCCGCCACAGUUUAACUCUGUUUUUGCCUCUUUUGAAUAUGUGUACGAUAUAACCAUCUCAACCAACAAGUGGGCCAAGGUACUGGAACAUUUCUCACUUCAAGUUGCUCUGUAGUCACUGGACAUUUUUUUAAACAUCUACGCAGACACCACCACUCCACACCAUGUGUAUUUUAAUUACUUCUGAUUCCACUGACAUGCAGACUACAUCCUAUGCAAAUUCAGGUAAUUUACCUGGUACUGGAGAAACAGCAUUGUAUGCCAUUCUAAGUGAUACUUGCCUCCUUGUUUUGCAAAAAUGUACUGUUCUUUGAAUAUAACUUAAAGUAAGAUCAUGUUGACUCUGAGGUUUUCUCCGGUUGUCAAGCACAACCUUAACGUUUUGUAAGUAAGUAAUAGUCACAGGAUAUGCAUGCAUUUGUAAUUUGAAUUUUCGUUGAAAACGGCUCACCAAG